Molecule: ribosomal RNA, 486 nt
Filed under: uncultured Edwardsiella sp.
Lineage: Bacteria; Pseudomonadati; Pseudomonadota; Gammaproteobacteria; Enterobacterales; Hafniaceae
Description: bacterial SSU rRNA
Rfam family: Bacterial small subunit ribosomal RNA
Source: RNAcentral
ACGCUGGCGGCAGGCUUAACACAUGCAAGUCGAGCGGUAGCAGGGAGAAAGCUUGCUUUCUCCGCUGACGAGCGGCGGACGGGUGAGUAAUGUCUGGGGAUCUGCCUGAUGGAGGGGGAUAACUACUGGAAACGGUAGCUAAUACCGCAUAACGUCGCAAGACCAAAGUGGGGGACCUUCGGGCCUCAUGCCAUCAGAUGAACCCAGAUGGGAUUAGCUAGUAGGUGAGGUAAUGGCUCACCUAGGCGACGAUCCCUAGCUGGUCUGAGAGGAUGACCAGCCACACUGGAACUGAGACACGGUCCAGACUCCUACGGGAGGCAGCAGUGGGGAAUAUUGCACAAUGGGCGCAAGCCUGAUGCAGCCAUGCCGCGUGUAUGAAGAAGGCCUUCGGGUUGUAAAGUACUUUCAGUAGGGAGGAAGGUGUACGUGUUAAUAGCACGUGCAAUUGACGUUACCUACAGAAGAAGCACCGGCUAACUCCGU